UACGUAGGUGGCAAGCGUUGUCCGGAAUUAUUGGGCGUAAAGCGCGCGCAGGCGGUUUCUUAAGUCUGAUGUGAAAGCCCACGGCUCAACCGUGGAGGGUCAUUGGAAACUGGGGAACUUGAGUGCAGAAGAGGAGAGCGGAAUUCCACGUGUAGCGGUGAAAUGCGUAGAGAUGUGGAGGAACACCAGUGGCGAAGGCGGCUCUCUGGUCUGUAACUGACGCUGAGGCGCGAAAGCGUGGGUAGCAAACAGG
This 253-nucleotide ribosomal RNA is filed under the name uncultured bacterium. RNAcentral's name for it is "partial 16S ribosomal RNA". It matches the Rfam family "Bacterial small subunit ribosomal RNA", at positions 524 to 776 of the family's 1533-position model. The record is from RNAcentral.